This is an unclassified non-coding RNA of Bos indicus x Bos taurus (hybrid cattle), 318 nucleotides long. Its record names the gene 7SK. It matches the Rfam family "7SK RNA". From Rfam's summary of the family: 7SK was discovered as an abundant small nuclear RNA in the mid-70s but a possible function has only recently been suggested. Two independent studies have found that 7SK RNA binds the CDK9/cyclin T complex (known as elongation factor P-TEFb). Lineage: Eukaryota; Metazoa; Chordata; Mammalia; Artiodactyla; Bovidae. The record is from Ensembl.
GGUUUUGCCAUAUAUCAACAUGAAUCUGUCACCCCAUUGAUCGUUAGGGUUGAUUCGGCUGAUCUGGCUGGCUAGGCGGGUGUCCCCUUCCUCCCUCACCGCUCCAUGUGCAUCCCUCCGGAAGCUGUGCACUCGGUCGAAGAGGACGACCAUCCCCCAUAGAGGAGGACCGGUCUUCGGUCCAAGGGUAUACGAAUAGCUGAGCUCCCGGCUAGAACCUCCAAACAAAUCUAAUUCUCUUUAUCUCUGUCCCAAAAUCUAGUGUAAGCCCUCCUCAUUCAUCUCAUUUACUCCUACAAUUAUCUCCUGAUAUACUCU